Molecule: small RNA, 76 nt
Filed under: Xanthomonas bromi
Lineage: Bacteria; Pseudomonadati; Pseudomonadota; Gammaproteobacteria; Lysobacterales; Lysobacteraceae
Description: sX9 sRNA
Rfam family: Xanthomonas sRNA sX9
Source: RNAcentral
AUCUACCAGUCGUACACUCCGGUUCCUCCGCGCCGUCCGCACCCACCCGACGACCGCUCGCUAUGUGUUGUUAGCC